Molecule: small RNA, 556 nt
Filed under: Pan troglodytes (chimpanzee)
Lineage: Eukaryota; Metazoa; Chordata; Mammalia; Primates; Hominidae
Description: retained intron
Source: RNAcentral
AUGCUGAGCUAGACCCUGCGGUGAUCAGCAGUCACAUUGCACAUCUUUCUGAUGUUGCCCUUUCAAUUACAAAUGUAUGAAAGUCACACUUACUUUUUAUUCCAGGUCAGUGUUGAUGGACAGGAUAUUAGGACCAUAAACGUAAGGUUUCUACGGGAAAUCAUUGGUGUGGUGAGUCAGGAACCUGUAUUGUUUGCCACCACGAUAGCUGAAAACAUUCGCUAUGGCCGUGAAAAUGUCACCAUGGAUGAGAUUGAGAAAGCUGUCAAGGAAGCCAAUGCCUAUGACUUUAUCAUGAAACUGCCUCAUAAAUUUGACACCCUGGUUGGAGAGAGAGGGGCCCAGUUGAGUGGUGGGCAGAAGCAGAGGAUCGCCAUUGCACGUGCCCUGGUUCGCAACCCCAAGAUCCUCCUGCUGGAUGAGGCCACGUCAGCCUUGGACACAGAAAGCGAAGCAGUGGUUCAGGUGGCUCUGGAUAAGGCCAGAAAAGGUCGGACCACCAUUGUGAUAGCUCAUCGUUUGUCUACAGUUCGUAAUGCUGACGUCAUCGCUGGUU